GCCUAAGGUAUGCAAGUCGAAUGCCGAUUUAUCGGCAUGGCAGACGGCUGAGUAACACAUGGGAAUCUACCUCAAACUCGAGAAUAGCCCAUCGAAAGGUGGUGUAAUACUCGAUAGCUCCGUUUACGGUAAAGCUCCGGCGGUUUGAGAUGAGCCCAUGUCCUAUCAGGUUGUUGGUGGGGUAAUUGCCUACCAAGCCUAUGACGGGUAGCUGGUUUGAGAGGAUGAUCAGCCAGACUGGGACUGCGAUACGGCCCAGACUCCUACGGGAGGCAGCAACUAGGAAUCAUGCGCAAUGGACGAAAGUCUGACGCUGCGACGUCGCGUGAGGGAUGAAGGUCUUAGGAUCGUAAACCUCUUUUAUCUGGGAACAAGUUCUGAGUGUACCAGAUGAAUAAGUGCCUGCCAACCACGUGCCAGAAGCAUCGGUAAUGCGUGGGGCACGAGCGUUAUCCGGAUUUACUGGGCGUAAAGAGAUGCGUAGGCGCCUUUUUAAGUCACUUGUAAAAUCUCCCCGCUCAACGGGGAAACUGCAAGUGAUACUGAAUUGGUUGAGUCAAGUAGAGGAGAGGGGAAUUCCUGGUGGAGCGGUUAAAUGCGUUGAUAUCAGGAGGAAUACCAAGUGCGAAGGCACCUCUCUGGACUUGUACUGACGCUAAGGCUCGAAAGUGUGGGGAGCAAAACGGAUUAGAUACCCGUGUAGUCCACACUGUAAACGAUCCCUGCUAGAUGUUUGC
Molecule: ribosomal RNA, 737 nt
Filed under: uncultured organism
Description: bacterial SSU rRNA
Rfam family: Bacterial small subunit ribosomal RNA
Source: RNAcentral